UGGCGGACGGGUGAGUAAUGUCUGGGAAACUGCCCGAGGGAGGGGGAUAACUACUGGAAACGGUAGCUAAUACCGCAUAACGUCGCAAGACCAAAGAGGGGGACCUUAGGGCCUCUUGCCAUCGGAUGUGCCCAGAUGGGAUUAGCUAGUAGGUGGGGUAAUGGCUCACCUAGGCGACGAUCCCUAGCUGGUCUGAGAGGAUGACCAGCCACACUGGAACUGAGACACGGUCCAG
This 235-nucleotide ribosomal RNA is filed under the name uncultured bacterium. RNAcentral's name for it is "partial 16S ribosomal RNA". It matches the Rfam family "Bacterial small subunit ribosomal RNA", at positions 96 to 334 of the family's 1533-position model. The record is from RNAcentral.